CAGCCGCCGCGGUAAUACGUAGGGUGCGAGCGUUAAUCGGAUUUACUGGGCGUAAAGCGUGCGCAGGCGGCCCGUUAAGACAGGUGUGAAAUCCCUGGGCUCAACCUAGGAAUUGCGCUUGUGACUGGCGGGCUCGAGUACGGUAGAGGGGGGUGGAAUUCCUGGUGUAGCAGUGAAAUGCGUAGAGAUCAGGAGGAACACCGAUGGCGAAGGCAGCCCCCUGGGCCUGUACUGACGCUCAUGCACGAAAGCGUGGGGAGCAAACAGGAUUAGAUACCCGGGUAGUCCACGCCCUAAACGAUGGGUACUAGCCGUUUGGUGCGCGAAAGCGCUGAGUGGCGAAGCUAACGCGUGAAGUACCCCGCCUGGGGAGUACGGCCGCAAGGUUGAAACUUAAAGGAAUUGGCGGG
This 410-nucleotide ribosomal RNA is filed under the name uncultured microorganism. RNAcentral's name for it is "bacterial SSU rRNA". It matches the Rfam family "Bacterial small subunit ribosomal RNA", at positions 509 to 917 of the family's 1533-position model. The record is from RNAcentral.